This 1881-nucleotide long non-coding RNA is filed under the name Vigna radiata. RNAcentral's name for it is "long non-coding RNA (VRAD_LNC010919)". The record is from RNAcentral. Lineage: Eukaryota; Viridiplantae; Streptophyta; Magnoliopsida; Fabales; Fabaceae.
UCCUAGAAAAUAGGACUGCAUAAUAACCAACUUAUUUUAACAAACUGGAAACAGACUAAUAUAAAAUAAAUAUCUCCUAAACCAACCAACAUUCACGGUUUUUACCAAAUUUUUUUGGCUUUUGCACCGUGCCUAUAUCUUUGUCUGAGUCUUUUAGGUCAAUUUAAUUUCUUCUAGCUCCUAUAUUCUAGCUAGAUCUAGUUACCUAGGACCAUCCUAAUCUGUUUGCUUGAGCUAGCUAUCAUUGCUUCCAUAUAUUUUUUUUUUAAUUCUGCUGCAGAUUUAUUGAUUUUACUGCAUAAUUGGUAACUCCACAUAUCACUUUGAGUUUUACUGAGAUUCUGUGCAUUGUAACUAUUGGUGCAAGUGUAUUUCACCAUUUGAAACUUGUUUCAGCUGUUGCCUUGGUCCAUUUGCAUUACAUCUGCAAAAUCAUAGUUUGACAUCCUAUUUUUGCUUGAAAAUUGGAACUCAACUAGUCAAAUUGUGAUUCAGUGGAUUUUGGCACAGUUUGAUUGUUUCCACACCUAUAUUUGGUGCAUCAAAGUUGCUUGUUACUGUUCAUUUGGUCAUUUUUGCACCAUUUCACCAAAUCACAUCUUAAACCCGUAGCUUUGCUCCAAUUGAGGAAGUGGACAUGUCAUAUUUUGCUGUGGCAGUUUUCUUUGCGGUUUGAGUGCUUGCACACAUCCAUUAUGAUGAUAUAAACUUGCUUGAGGUGUCAUUUGAUCCUUUUAACCACUGCCACUGAUUUCACCCACUGCAGUUCCAAUUUUCUUGCCAUUUUUUUCACUUUUUGGUGCAGUUUUAGUAGUUUAAUUCUGCAUAAUUCACAACUGCCUCUGUCCAUUGCUGCAUCAACUUGUUUCUGUGUAGUAUCAAUGUUUUAGCAAGUCCAUUUGGUGAUUUGAAAUCUGAACUUACUGUUCAUAUGGUCAAAAUUCAACUGUUUUGCAAAAUCACCACUCCAUCCAUCAAAUUUGCUUGAUUUUGGGAAGUGACCUAGUGAAUUUCUGCUGCAGGCCAUUUCUUUGCUGUUUGAGUGUUUGGACACAUCUAUUAUGAUGAUACAAAGUUGUUUGAAGUGUCAAUUACACAUGUGAAUCAUUGCCAUUGAGUUUGACCAGUGCAGUUUCAAUUUUGCUGCCACAUUUCAGUGCUGCAACGUGUUUUCUAGCUGUUUGCAUUUUGUCCAGCCCUUACAAAUCAAAAUUGGAUUGGCAAAAGCUGGGAUUUCACUCCUAAAUCAUUUUCCAUGUUCAAUCAAGUUUAAAACAGGCAUAAAAAGCAAUUAAAUCCCUGCAAUCCAGUUUUAGAAAUCAAAAAUCAGAAAAAUAUCAAAACUGUAGUUCAUUGUGGCAUUUUGUCAAACAGUUUGGCAAUUUCAUCAAACAGUUUCACUGCACAGAAUUUCCUCAUUGUUUUUGAGUUUUUCUUGCUUUUAUAAUCUGUUCUAGUUCCUUUCCUAGGCUCCUUUUGUGUGCUACCUUUUAUUCCAGCUGUAUCUCACUUGAAUUCAUCAUUUUUGGCUUCCAUACUAUGCUAGCAAAUUGGUUUUUGGCUAAUUAAAAUUUUGGUGCAGCACAUUUCUGUUUCACUCACGGUUUUGUGAUUUUCUUGCUGGUUCAUCAUAUCAUUUUGGUGGAAUUUUAGCACACAGCUGGACCUUAUCAAAGGGGUAGCAUCUUAAGGAGUGGAGGCCUUGCUAACUUGGCUUCAAGUGGACUUCAAGAGGACUUUAAGUGGGCUGUCCAGCCACCUUUUCAGCAGCAAAACACCACUCACAAGUUGCAUUUCAUAAUUUAUUUUGCUUUUGUAGCCACACUUGGCUUUGCUUACAUAGUUCUCUAAUUCAUUGUACUAUUUGGCUUUCUAUCACGG